Molecule: ribosomal RNA, 465 nt
Filed under: Vreelandella stevensii
Lineage: Bacteria; Pseudomonadati; Pseudomonadota; Gammaproteobacteria; Oceanospirillales; Halomonadaceae
Description: partial 16S ribosomal RNA
Rfam family: Bacterial small subunit ribosomal RNA
Source: RNAcentral
CCUACGGGCGGCAGCAGUGGGGAAUAUUGGACAAUGGGGGGAACCCUGAUCCAGCCAUGCCGCGUGUGUGAAGAAGGCCCUCGGGUUGUAAAGCACUUUCAGUGAGGAAGAACGCCUGGUGGUUAAUACCCAUCAGGAAAGACAUCACUCACAGAAGAAGCACCGGCUAACUCCGUGCCAGCAGCCGCGGUAAUACGGAGGGUGCGAGCGUUAAUCGGAAUUACUGGGCGUAAAGCGCGCGUAGGUGGCUUGAUAAGCCGGUUGUGAAAGCCCCGGGCUCAACCUGGGAACGGCAUCCGGAACUGUCAAGCUAGAGUGCAGGAGAGGAAGGUAGAAUUCCCGGUGUAGCGGUGAAAUGCGUAGAGCUCGGGAGGAAUACCAGUGGCGAAGGCGGCCUUCUGGACUGACACUGACACUGAGGUGCGAAAGCGUGGGUAGCAAACAGGAUUAGAUACCCUUGUAGUC